Molecule: long non-coding RNA, 644 nt
Organism: Oreochromis niloticus (Nile tilapia)
Lineage: Eukaryota; Metazoa; Chordata; Actinopteri; Cichliformes; Cichlidae
Exons: 3
Source: RefSeq, a predicted model, not a curated record
AAACUACAACAGCUUCAAACUGAAGAUAUCAAACAGGAAACCAAGUAGGAAACCUACCAUGCUUGUAGCUCACAUUCACAAAAGUAGGAUGGUUUGGCACUUAAUUUUAUUUUUCUAGCUAAUAUUCACAAAGGUAGAACGGUUCGCCACUAAAUUUCGUGUUGUGCGCAUGCGCUGAAACAAGGGGUAGGAUGGUUUGUCAGGUACGAUGGAUUCCCAGAACACCUGUUUCGUGACAACGUUAGCAUCUAGCUAGCACUACAGAAGAGGAGCUAGCAUAACGGGAGUAACGUUUUUGUCAGAUCAGCUGAUCACAGCCUGUACUGAAGUGUUUUCCCCACCUGAGCCACUACGGAUCCUCCACCUGCUGAAUCCUCUGGAACCCCCGACCGUGCUCAGGUGUGCAGGCAGCGUCCCUCCACCAGGAGAUUCCCACAGAGCUGCUCAGUGUGGGGUGCAGCGUGUCCUUCUGAAAGGGACCUGACAGGUGACCUGGACCUUCAGCUGAUCAUCUGAGUGGAAGGGUGGCCGUCAGGUAUGAAAGUGACACGAUGUGCUGCAUCCUCCUGAGGACACAUUUGUAGACCGAUUACGUCACAGCGACGCGCCGAAGGCUGUCCAAAUUCGUGGACUCCUCCGAAUGC